UGGGGAAUCUUGGACAAUGGGGGCAACCCUGAUCCAGCCAUGCCGCGUGAGUGAAGAAGGCCCUAGGGUCGUAAAACUCUUUCGCCUGUGAUGAUAAUGACAGUAGCAGGUAAAGAAACCCCGGCUAACUCCGUGCCAGCAGCCGCGGUAAUACGGAGGGGGUUAGCGUUGUUCGGAAUUACUGGGCGUAAAGCGCACGUAGGCGGAUUAGAAAGUUAGAGGUGAAAUCCCAGGGCUCAACCCUGGAACUGCCUUUAAAACUACUAGUCUAGAGUUCGAGAGAGGUGAGUGGAAUUCCGAGUGUAGAGGUGAAAUUCGUAGAUAUUCGGAGGAACACCAGUGGCGAAGGCGGCUCACUGGCUCGAUACUGACGCUGAGGUGCGAAAGUGUGGGGAGCAAACAGG
This 404-nucleotide ribosomal RNA is filed under the name uncultured bacterium. Its description in RNAcentral is "bacterial SSU rRNA". It matches the Rfam family "Bacterial small subunit ribosomal RNA", at positions 355 to 776 of the family's 1533-position model. The record is from RNAcentral.